Oryzias latipes (Japanese medaka) is the source of this 1189-nucleotide non-coding RNA. The record is from RefSeq and is a predicted model, not a curated record. NCBI's taxonomy places the organism in Eukaryota, Metazoa, Chordata, Actinopteri, Beloniformes, Adrianichthyidae.
UCCUGCACACUUACAAAUGGAAAAUACAAAAGAAGUAGUUUCCUAUUGGUUGGAACUGAAAUAAAGAAAGUGAUGUAGAGCUCUUACAACCAGCCAAAGCGCUUUUGUCAUUGAGGUCCCUGCUGAAAACUGAUAAAGCAGGGCUCAUUAGGAGAGUACCUCAGAGAGGCUUCAGCGACCAAAUUUGAUUUGAAACAUGUCUUUGAGAGGCUGCAGGAGACAAGGUCACCUUUGAUUUCAGAGGAGCACAUCCAUCCGGAGUUGUCGGGCAGCGUCUUGCACUCCUCUCCCUCCAGACAAGGUUCCAUCUCACACCACCACUUCCCAAUUACAAUGGAUGCUGCAAAAACUUCCCCGCUCAUCUAAUCACUACGUAAUGAGCAUCUCCAGAGGGCUUUUGAGAGAGUCUGCUUCCUCCUCUUUGGCCUCCAAGCACUUGUACCCCUGUUGUAUGGGUAUUGCUGAUGACAAUAAAGUCUAAAACCAACAGAAAUUAAUCAAUGGUUUGUUUUGAUAUAGCUCUGUUGCAUGUAUGGGAGCAAUUCUGUUUUUAAUCAAAACUAAUUGCUUCUCGUUAACAUCUACUAAAAAUGCUCCUCCAGCUAUUUGACAAAAACAAAUGUAGUCUCAUCUUCUCAUCAACAAUUCUCCUUCUCCCGCCCUCUUCUUCUCAUUAUUUGUGUCUCUGGGUUGUAAAGUUAGAUGAAUGUGGUUGUGUUUACUUAAAUAAAGUAGAAAGAAAGGAAAACAACAAAUCUAUCCACGAGAUUGCUGACAUUUUGGUAAGUAAAGUAAAAACCUCCCAUCAUAUGUAGAUAAUGAGGAAACAGAGUACUCAUUACACAUUACGUCAACACUGGAGCACUUUACAGAGGAAACCAUUUUUGAGAGGGAUAUAAUGCUACUGACUAUUUAGUUAAAAGUAAGAUGGUGAAACAACAAAAGAGGUGUUUAUUUAGAUAAGCAGGAUGUUCUUUUAGCUUUUCAUGUACUAUGAAAUGCAUAAUGAUACAAUGUCUUGUAUGGUAAAUCAUUAUUUAGGUGGUGAUCUGAUUUGAUUAAAAAAUGUAGAGAUUAGACAAUGAAUCACAUGCCAUGCCGGCUCAGACGUCGCCCGGCAAAACAAGGUCUGCGUCAGGUGCUGGGGGACCAGAGCACCCUGAUGGAAAGUGGGCUAUUGGAACAAGAC